CCUACGGGUGGCAGCAGUGGGGAAUAUUGGACAAUGGGCGCAAGCCUGAUCCAGCAAUGCCGCGUGAGUGAUGAAGGCCUUAGGGUUGUAAAGCUCUUUCGCCCGCGACGAUGAUGACGGUAGCGGGAGAAGAAGCCCCGGCUAACUCCGUGCCAGCAGCCGCGGUAAUACGGAGGGGGCUAGCGUUGUUCGGAAUUACUGGGCGUAAAGGGCGCGUAGGCGGCUUGUCGAGUCCGAUGUGAAAGGCCUGGGCUUAACCUGGGAAUGGCAUUGGAUACUGGCAGGCUUGAGACCGGGAGAGGGCAGUGGAAUUCCCAGUGUAGAGGUGAAAUUCGUAGAUAUUGGGAAGAACACCGGUGGCGAAGGCGGCUGCCUGGCCCGGUUCUGACGCUGAGGCGCGAAAGCGUGGGGAGCAAACAGGAUUAGAUACCCUGGUAGUC
Molecule: ribosomal RNA, 440 nt
Filed under: uncultured bacterium
Lineage: Bacteria
Description: bacterial SSU rRNA
Rfam family: Bacterial small subunit ribosomal RNA
Source: RNAcentral